Molecule: ribosomal RNA, 633 nt
Filed under: uncultured Pseudomonas sp.
Lineage: Bacteria; Pseudomonadati; Pseudomonadota; Gammaproteobacteria; Pseudomonadales; Pseudomonadaceae
Description: bacterial SSU rRNA
Rfam family: Bacterial small subunit ribosomal RNA
Source: RNAcentral
GAGUUUGAUCAUGGCUCAGAUUGAACGCUGGCGGCAGGCCUAACACAUGCAAGUCGAGCGGUAGAGAGAAGCUUGCUUCUCUUGAGAGCGGCGGACGGGUGAGUAAUGCCUAGGAAUCUGCCUGGUAGUGGGGGAUAACGUUCGGAAACGGACGCUAAUACCGCAUACGUCCUACGGGAGAAAGCAGGGGACCUUCGGGCCUUGCGCUAUCAGAUGAGCCUAGGUCGGAUUAGCUAGUUGGUGGGGUAAUGGCUCACCAAGGCGACGAUCCGUAACUGGUCUGAGAGGAUGAUCAGUCACACUGGAACUGAGACACGGUCCAGACUCCUACGGGAGGCAGCAGUGGGGAAUAUUGGACAAUAGGCGAAAGCCUGAUCCAGCCAUGCCGCGUGUGUGAAGAAGGUCUUCGGAUUGUAAAGCACUUUAAGUUGGGAGGAAGGGCAGUAAAUUAAUACUUUGCUGUUUUGACGUUACCGACAGAAUAAGCACCGGCUAACUCUGUGCCAGCAGCCGCGGUAAUACAGAGGGUGCAAGCGUUAAUCGGAAUUACUGGGCGUAAAGCGCGCGUAGGUGGUUCGUUAAGUUGUAUGUGAAAUCCCCGGGCUCAACCUGGGAACUGCAUUCAAAACUGAC